Molecule: long non-coding RNA, 833 nt
Filed under: Homo sapiens (human)
Lineage: Eukaryota; Metazoa; Chordata; Mammalia; Primates; Hominidae
Description: long non-coding RNA NONHSAT176465.1
Source: RNAcentral
CAGAAUGGAACAGAAGCACAGAGCACUGCAGAGAUGCCCCGAGAGCUCUUAGAAAUGGAAGUUGAUGUGGUGUGGAUGCGUGUCCCCUCCAAAUCUCAUGCUGAAACGUGAUCCCCAACGUUGGAGGUAGCCAUGGUGGCAAAUAUUGGAUCAUGGGGGCAGAUUUCUCAAGGAUGACUUAGCACCGUCCCCCUGGUGGAAGCCCUUGGAACAGGAUGUAAAAGCAGCACUUUCCAUCCAGCCUGACAUCCUGCUUCCAGAUGCAGAAGGCUGAGCAGGCCACCAGGAUCACAUUUAAAUGGCUGUGGCCAUGAUGUUCCAAUUUGAAACCUGGACUCCACCAACUUCCAUACUCAUCCCUUGCUCUCAGCCCUCUCCCUCCCCUGUCCAGGUCCUCAGGAUGAUCUGAGAAAUAUGUUACACUUUUCUUCCUCGCUAGAUGUCAACACGUUGGAAGGCAGGGACCUUGCCAUAUUAAUCCUUAGGGCCUUGGGUUCUGCUGUAGUAAAGACUCAAAAAAUGUUGGGUAAAAUUAAUUUUAAAAACAACUGGUGGCCGGGUGCGGUGGCUCACGCCUAUGAUCCCAGCACUUUGGGAGGCCAAGGCGGGUGGAUCACCUGAGGUCAGGAGUUCGAGACCAGCCUGGGCAACAUGGUGAAACCCUGUCUUUACUAAAAAUACAAAAAUUAGCCUGGCGUGGUGGCAGCGCCUGUAGUCCCAGCUACUUGGGAGGCUAAGACAGGAGAAUUGCUUGAACUUGGGAGGCAGAGGUUGCAGUGAACUGAGAUUGUGCCAUUGCACUCUAGUCUGGACGACAGAGUGAAACUCUGUCU